Camelina sativa (false flax) is the source of this 1211-nucleotide long non-coding RNA. RefSeq lists it as uncharacterized. Lineage: Eukaryota; Viridiplantae; Streptophyta; Magnoliopsida; Brassicales; Brassicaceae. The record is from RefSeq and is a predicted model, not a curated record.
GCCCCUUCUCACAUCACACAAUUGAUCGUCUCUUUCUCUCGACACAACUCUGGUUUCUAACUUCGUCGACUUAGCCAUAGAAAAGAGAAUAUGAUCUAAUCUUCUCCCUCCAACUACACACAACCAUGAUCCCCCCAAACGAAUUAGCUCUUCAAAAACGUCAAUAAAGAGAAUUUUUUGGAGAAGUAAGUUUCAAUUUUCUAGGGUUUUUAAGUUUUCUCAAAUGUAAUUUCCCCUUUUUAAUUGGGUAGAAGAGACGGAGAGUUUCAAACUGUCAGCGCUUCACCAUCUUCGUCGCUUCUCUGUAUCGCAGGAAGCCAUCUGAGAAUCGCCAGAAUUUGAGAGCUUUCCAGAUCUUCAGUCUGAUCUCCUAUUCCAAGUUUUCAGAUCGCAAACUUCGCCUGCAAGUCGACGAUUUCCGCCCAGUGUCGCUUGUAGGUUCAGUUCGAACCUAUGUCUUCCUCUCGUAGCCUACAUAGUAUUUCUGUGUCAUCAGGUACACGAUGAAGUCAGGAAAUGACUUGCCAAGAGCGUGAGUGCUGAUGUCGCUGCUACACCCGCAUCAUUUAUGGAGGUAGACUAUAUGAUUAACACAUUUGAAGGUACAACCUCCCGCGCAUCGACAAGGAGGAUAUACUCGUCAUUUUGCCCAUCAGAAAAGCCUAAUCCUAUAAGCAUGGGCAAAAAUGCCCAAUUUGAAACUUUUGGCUGCACAAAAGCCCAUAUGGACAAACACCCCAAUAAUCUAUAAACAAAUUACAUUUGUCGUCCAGAUCCAUAAUUGUUGAUAAAGACGAUAAAACAAGAUUUGAUUCUCCACCAAUCCUAUAUAUUCCACAAAGAGGAUGAUGGUUGGAUCGCCUUUGGUUGUUAAAAGUUAAACUAUACUUGUAAUGAGAUCAGGAAGAUGGCCUAUAUAUUCCUUGAUCAGUAGUAUGUGAAUGUUUUUUUUCACAUAUCUCAAGUGACAUUCACAAUCUUACUGUCUUACAAAGAAUACAAAAUCCUGAUGACUAGCUCUUUAUACUCUCUUAAAUGUAACUUCCACAAACUUAUAAGGAACUGAAACUACAGAUAGAUGUACUGGCAAAAAUAAGGCACUCUAGCAAUCGUCUCAAGAACAAAAAACGUUGCAUAGAUUCGAUAACAAUACAAUCUGUGAAGUAUCUUAAUCACCAAGUCCUGAGGGGAAACAUAAAAGAAAAAAAAAA